RNAcentral lists this ribosomal RNA (433 nucleotides) under uncultured bacterium. Its description in RNAcentral is "partial 16S ribosomal RNA". It matches the Rfam family "Bacterial small subunit ribosomal RNA", at positions 29 to 507 of the family's 1533-position model. The record is from RNAcentral.
AACGAACGCUGGCGGCAUGCCUAACACAUGCAAGUCGAACGAGACCUUCGGGUCUAGUGGCGCACGGGUGCGUAACGCGUGGGAACCUGCCCUUAGGUUCGGAAUAACUCCCCGAAAGGGGUGCUAAUACCGGAUAAUGUCUUCGGACCAAAGAUUUAUCGCCUUUGGAUGGGCCCGCGUUGGAUUAGCUAGUUGGUAGGGUAAAAGCCUACCAAGGCGACGAUCCAUAGCUGGUCUGAGAGGAUGAUCAGCCACACUGGGACUGAGACACGGCCCAGACUUCUACGGGAGGCAGCAGUGGGGAAUAUUGGACAAUGGGCGAAAGCCUGAUCCAGCAAUGCCGCGUGAGUGAUGAAGGCCUUAGGGUUGUAAAGCUCUUUUACCCGGGAUGAUAAUGACAGUACCGGGAGAAUAAGCACCGGCUAACUCCGUG